AGCUGCAGCAUGGUGUAAAGAGACCAACACCAGCAUUCUCCCUGUUUUGUGUUCAGGUUUCCCAUCUGAACCUCAACCGUUCCCUUUUGUAACUGAUCAGUGUGUUGCCGGCAGACUUUCUGAGCUGAAGCCAAUAUCCUGUUCUUCAGGGACAGCUCCUGCUAGAUAGACCAUAUUCAUGAUGAUUUCCAAAUGAGAUGCCUUGGUGCCACCUUUGACUUCCACUUCACGGUAGCCAUCAGGAGCAACAGUGUCAGGAAGGCACACAAGACAGCUGGGUGCUCUGUGGAGAGAGGAACUGAUGCCAUUGAAAUCCUAACCAGAGGACUUGUCAUCUACUCUGGCAGCAAAGAGGGAUGCUAACUCUCUUGCUGUGGUGUGUGAGCUUCCUUAGCCAUCGGUCCUUUCAUGUAACUCGUAUCUAUCUGAAGGGACAUAGAUGACAACCGGGCCUUUCGGGUUUCACACAUACGCUUCACCAGACAGGUAGCUGACCCCGUCAUGGGAACACAAACUUUCCAGCCCGAAAUACCUAGGUAGCCACCUGCAAUUACCUGGCUUGUGAAAUAAACAGUACCCACCUGAGGGAGAAUAAUUGGGAAAUGGAUCCAGAAUUUGGACCAAACAUUAUAAAAAUAAUUUGGGAAAUAACGAAAGAGGUUAAGCACAUGAUGAAAAAGCAAGAAAUCAUUGAAAAGAACCAAGUGGAAAUUUUUAGGUGUGAACAGUACAAUAGUUGAAGUAAAGGACACAAGAGAUGGAUUGCCAGCAGGAUGGAAAUAGCUGGAGAACAGCUAAUUACAUGGAGAAUCAAGUUGAGGAAUUCUUCCAAAAAGUAGCAGGAAAUGAUGAACAGGAAAAAGAACUAUUCUUAAAUGUUUUCAAAUAGGGAAGACAGAUGUAGAAGUGCCAAUAUUCAGAAAAUAAGAACUGUAGGAGAGAGAAAAAUGGAUAAAAUAAAAUAUUUAAAGAAAUAGUGAAGAUUCAACUUGCUAAAGUUGAAAAUAAGAGUCCUUGGCUUGAAAAGCUUACAGAACACCAAACAAAAGAAAUAAGGAGAAAUCCACAUCCAUGUUCCAGCAGCACACAGGCACAUCCAAGAAAACUUUAUGUUUUUGGAGAUGAAGCAGAUUGCCACCAAAAAGGAAUCAGAGCAAUAUCAAGAAGAUACUGCAAAGAAUAGAUAAAACAAGAAAGACUAGCUAUAAAUAUUGUCAUACUUAAGAACUAAAGGUUAAUAUACUUAAGAAGUAAAGGUUAAAAGAUCUUAAAUUAAUGACAACCAACAUAAGACCAAAAAUAUAAACUUUAAACCAACAAAAGGAAAUUCUAUCAAAAGACAGCAGCAGAGAAAAAAGAAACAACUAGAGAUCCUUAUAAGUAUAAACUGUGAGAUAUGUUCUGAAACAACAAAAACUACAAUAAAUGCAAAUGAAUUAAACUUACUAAUAGGAAGACAUAGAUACCUCAGAUUAUGCUUUUAAAAUAAUCAGUAUUAUACCUUUUAAAAUAAGAAAUAAUAAAAAAGACAAAGAACUUUGGAAAAAUCGAACACCAUAUUAAAUGCAGACAUCAAAAAGACCGGAAAUCCUGACGUGCAACAUAAUAUUUAACAUAAAAAUACCAUAAUGACCACAGCAGGAGCUUGAAUAGUAAGAAAAGGAACAAUAUGACAAAAACCGUAACCAACAGAAACCUAUAUUCAUCUAAAAAUGUGUUCUAAAAAUAUAUCAAGUAACAAUAGUCAGAGCCAGAGAGAUGUUGAUAAUUCAUUAUUUGUAGUUGGCUCUUUUAUAUUCCCCUCAGAACUGGACAGAUGUUCUGAAAUUUCCCAGUAAUGUACUUUAGUGUGGACCUGUUUUUAUCCAUCUUACUGAGUACUUGUGGGUCUUUUCAAUUUGGAAAGUCACGUUCCACUUUGGGGAAAUUUUUAGUAUUGUUUUGUCACAGAUAAACUCCCCUGUGUUUUUCUGUUAUUGGUGGAACUCUUUAUUUGGGGAUAACCGUCUUUAGAAUGUUUUCUCAUUUUCCUCUUUUCUUGCCUGUAUUCUAGAUCUUUGUCUUUUUUAAUCUACUUUCUGGGAGAUAUCCUCAUCUAUAUCUUUCAAGCCUGCUGCUGACUUUUUAAAAAUUCUCCUACCAUAUUUUUAACUUUAAGAGGUCUGUUUUGGUCUCAGAAUAUUGCUUUUCUUAAAAUAGAAUCCUAUUCCUAUUUCACAUUUGUGGUACUUCAUCCCUUUGAGGAAACUAAUACUUUUUAAAAAGAUAUUUUCUUCUCCCUGAAUCAUAUCUGUUUCUCUAAACACUCCUGUAUUGAUUCUAAUUGCAGCUGUAAAACUUUAACACAAGUAUAUUAUUUUAGAGUCCUGUAGGUUAGAAAUUUAGCAUGGUUUCACCGAGCUGAAAUCGUGGUGUUGGAAGGACCAUUUCCCUCCGGAGGCUCUGGGGAAAAUAUUUUGUUGCCUUCUUCCAGCUUUUAGAGACCACCCACAUUCUUUGCUUUCUAGCCCCUUUCCCACAUAUUUAAAGCCGAUAAUGUCACAUCUCUAUGACUCUUCUUUGGUUGUCACAUCUCCUCCUGACCAUGACAAAAGAAAAUUCUUGGCAUGAAAGGAUCCACAUGAUUAGAUUGGGAUCAUUGGGAAAUCCAGGAUAAUCUCCUCAUCUCAGAGUCAGGCCAUUAGCAACUCUAAUUGCAUUUGCAAAUUUAAACCUGCAGAAGUGUCAUAUAACCUAACAUAGUGACUUGUUCUGAAAAUUAGGGCGUGGAUACUUUGAGGAGCUAUCUGCCUACCAUACUCCGCUUUUUGGUUUUGUUCUCCAAUUUGCAUGUUAAAGGCUUUCCUCAGAUGUCUGAUGAUCUUUAGUCAUUUGUACAUAUGUAAGAAUGGGGGGCUCAAAAGGUUAUUGGAAGCUGGUGCUGUGAAUGACCUUUUCCAUGGGCAGCCUCAUGUGAGUGUCUCAGCUCUUUGCUGUUGGGCUGGGAGGCUCCCCGGAGCAGACUUGUGCAGUCUCCCGCCUGGAGGAAGAAGGCCUAGUCACCAGAGCUGUGUAAACUAAGAAGAGAUUUGGGAGUUUCACCAUCCAGGAUGUAUAUGUUUGUUUAAUUCCUUUGUGUCCCCCAACUAUGCCUGGUAUCCCUCAGGCAGGGACUAGAUAUUCUGUCUUCUGCCUGGGUAUGAAACUUUGGGGUGCAGUGCUAUCUCUUAAACUGUCUCUUAAACAGAUAUUCAAUCAGUCUUUGAAUGUUUAAUCAGAUCUUUACCACUAUUUCCAGAGAUGUUGGAUGACUAUUGCUGAGUUAUAUGGGGACUCUUUCUGUAAACUGGAUUGGUUCUUGGAUUCAUCCUUUGCUGCCUUACAACUCAGCUUUAUUAGUUCUUGUUUAAGGGUCAUUUAUCUAUCUGCUUUCCAGCUACCAAAUUUUGUUGCUGUUUUUUUCCUGUUGGUCUUUGUUAACAGAUGCCCUAUUUGUUGUUAUUAACCUCUUUCCUGUUGUUUUAAUGAGGUUUCUAAAGGCAGCAGAGCUGAAGGCUUAGGUUCAAGUCAUGAUUCUUAACUGGAAGUUGGUAUGUUUUUCCUGUAGUUGUUGAGUCCACUGUGCAGCAGGGAGCAGGGGAAGUAUCUUGUCCCACGGUGGGUGCCUACAAUUUUUCCCCUUUUGUAGGAGGUGGAUCAACUGUAUCAAAGAGAUGUCAAAACCUUGGGCAUAACCUAAAAGGGUACCUGUCUCCUUUCAUGGCUCCACGCUUCACUCUCUGAUUCUUGGGAGCCAUGAUAUGAGCAGCUAUUUCUCCACCAUACCAUCCUGCCUCAGAUGUCAACUAAUUAUGGAGAGAAACAUGAGCCCAAAUAAACCUCUCCUUCUUUUCACUCUCCCAGUGAUGAGAAAGGUAAGCCAGA
Long non-coding RNA from Chinchilla lanigera (long-tailed chinchilla), 3903 nucleotides. RefSeq lists it as uncharacterized. Lineage: Eukaryota; Metazoa; Chordata; Mammalia; Rodentia; Chinchillidae. The transcript is spliced from 3 exons. The record is from RefSeq and is a predicted model, not a curated record.